AAUCAACGCUGGCGGCGUGCCUAACACAUGCAAGUCGAACGCGACUGGGGCUUCGGCCUCAGUUGAGUGGCGAACGGGUGAGUAACACGUGGGUGACCCUACCUUCGAAUGGGGGAGUAACGUCCCGAAAGGGACGCUAAUACCGCAUAACAUCCUGCCUUUGAACAGGCGGGAGAUCAAAGCCGGGGAUCGCAAGACCUGGCGUUUGAAGAGGGGCCGUGCGUCCGAUUAGCUAG
RNAcentral lists this ribosomal RNA (236 nucleotides) under uncultured bacterium. Its description in RNAcentral is "partial 16S ribosomal RNA". It matches the Rfam family "Bacterial small subunit ribosomal RNA", at positions 32 to 248 of the family's 1533-position model. The record is from RNAcentral.